UGCCUUACUUUAUACCACUGACGACCUGAUGUCAGUCCUCACAUGACAGCAAGUGACGCAGAAAUACUAAGUCUCGGGUAUUCAGCCCGGCCGAGGGCUACCUCUGGCAGGGAUAACCCAAAUGUGAUGACUGCUACAGUGAAACACGAAGAACAUCAGUUGAACAUAAAUGGCUCCAAUUAUUAAGCAUAACCGUAGGAAAUUAUGUACUAUUCGAUAUACUUUAACUAAAACUGAAGGGCAUCCCCUAAAGGAAUGGGGACAAAAAAGUCACAAUGUCAGCUGAUAAGGGUGGUAAUAAUAAUAUACUGAAUGUUGAAAAUUGGAUAACAGCACUUAUGAAGCAAGUCGGCACUACAAAGCUACAUGGAGUUUAAAGCGCUUCUUGAUAAAGGAAGCAGAUUGCAUUUUUUUUUGGUCUGGCAGAUGGCUUAAGCUGUUUCCUGUGGUCCAGAGGUGCAAGACUUGACUCCCUCAACUUCCACUGCCUAACUGUGACUCUGAGCAAGUUACUUAACCAGACACCACUCCCAGACUGAAUAUGAAAAAGGUCCAUGGAGAUCAGUGCUCUACCCCGGAAAACAAAUACAAAUAAAUAAUCAUAUACAUAUGAUGCCUAUAACACAAGAUACUUUGAUUCCUGUUUUUUACCGAUUACCAAAAUUGCACACAGAUUUAUAUAACCCACCUGCAGACUCAAAGUUACUAACAGAUUAUUUAGAAAAAUAGGUUGAAUUAAUAAUUUCCUAAAAUAUGUUGAAAAAUUGGUUUUACAUACAAAACACUGCAGAUGCCGGACGUUUGAAGGCUUAUGUUGGGAGAAAAAAUAUUUUUGAGCAAACUCUGAAGCUACAUCCUUAUAUAGCAGUAUCUAUAACCAUGGCAGUUUGCAAGCCUUAAAUUACUAUAACCAUGCCAGUUUGCAAGCCUUAAAUUAUUUUUAGAUCCUAGUCCCUCUUUAUUUGUGAUUUGGUUUGGUUUUCUAUAAAUCAUUUCUUUACAUUUGAUGGUCAAACCUAAAGACAAACUGAGGAGCAACAAUGGAAGCUUGUUUUGCUCCCUUGUGCAAUAAUUUGACCAUGGGUUUGAGUUAGAAGUAUAACACUGAUUUUUUGAAAUGUAUAUCUAUGAUACAUAUAUUUUACUUUUUGUUUGCAAUAGUAACACUGAAAAAUGUUAUAAUUUUUUGACAGUUCAAAAGGACAAUAGAUUUGUUAAUAUGCCAUUGUGGGGCAGACCAAUUAAGAUUUAGGACUACCUUGUAUAGUACAAAUUCAAAUGCACAGAUGGUCUUGCAUGGGGGUAGUCAAUCUAAAUCUUUAAUUGGUUCCUUAGCUUAUGCUGCAUUUUAAAGGCAAAUCAAAAUUAUAGUGAAUUAAAUUUUUUCCCUAAAUGAGUCAGAAUUUAUAAUUAUUUGUGAAAAGGGGUUUCAGAACUUAAGAUGAACAAAAACACAUCAGCAAACCUGUUCUAAAAAUAGAACGGAUUUAAUUUUGGAACACAAAAUAUUAAUAGCCAGCUUUUUAUUAAUAAUUAGCCAACAAAUAUGCUUGCAAUGUAUUCCAAUUAUGCACUAAAAUAUUUGUUCAGUGGAAUUGCACUAUGUGGUUAAACAACUCUGGGCUGUGAUUUUUUUUCAGGAUGUUGAGCUUGCACGGGUUACACAUACACACCACCAUCACGGUUAUCUUGUUUUAGAGGCUCCCAUAUUCAAACAUUUUGAACACCCAGAUGAAUCAAUAAUUCAAUAUACAAUGACUAGAAACCAUAGAAACAGAGUGGACCACUGCUUUGGCCACUAUACAAUGUGUAAUAUUAUGAUAGAAGACUUUAUUCCAGUUAACAGUCAAAGCAAGACUAUGCAAUUUAAAUUGUUGUAACUGUAUGAAAGCAGUAUAUGUUAUAUAGUGUUCCUGUGGUUUAACAUACUUUGAAGGAAACUAAAAGAAAAUCUGCAGCAAUACUAACAGAAAGUUCAGCGGUGUAAGAACUUAUUUUAACAGUUUAUGUCCUAUUGAUCACUGUUGCAGUAUUCCAAACAGAUUUACAAAGCUUAAGGGAGUAAAAGGGUGGAAGGCUGAGAAUUGUGAGAACUGUCUAAGAGGCAAAAGGUAUCAACUCUGUAAAGCUUAGUGAAAGUGGCACUGAAGACCAGGUAGCUACUUCCAGUAUUAGUCUGAAUCUAUCCCCUUGUACAAAACUACAAAAGAGGCCACUGCUCUAGCAGAAUGAGGUUUUUGGAAAGAGGGCAAAGAUAUGAUGCGGUAAGGGUAGAAAAAGAAGAUGGACUUGAGUUUUGCCAUGAAAUCAAGAGAUGAAGUGUGUGUAACCAUAUGCAUCUCUUAACUGAGCUGGUAGCAACUGCUCUGGAGGAGGUCUCAACAGCAUCACAGCUGCAGUUUAUAGUACGCAUAGUUACUAGAGUAGCUUGAGCCACUAAAUACAUAACCUGUUAUUUACAGUCUGACCCUACCAUGUCAGUAACUACCUUAUUCAGGUUGCCAAGGAUAACCAAAAGGUAUUUGGUCAUCUGAGUCUGACAAUUAAUGCCCUGAAGGCCUGGGUAAAGGAAGCAUAGACCUUUCCCCCAAUACUGUUCUUUUCUGAGGGAAGGGCAUUAUCAUUAGGCAGAAGUGUAGAUGCAUUCUCUGAGGCUAAGGAAAUAACUGAAGGAUCAGCAACUGGAUUCUUGGAAAGAAACUUGAGUGUAUCUGGAACUUUAUAGAAUCUAUCAGGCCUCUUGAGGGCUGGAGGCUGAGAGUCAGGAGCAGUAGACAGCCACAAAAGCAUCAAGAAAGGCUUCCAGGACUGCAGGGACAGGAGUAGAAGCUGGAGUGUCCACUAAAACUAUAAUCUCUUUUCUGAACAUCAAGAGAUCUGAUUAGAAUCUCACUCAGAACGUUGCAUCAUAUUCUCAAUGUUCUCCCCAAAAGCCCUUUCCAUAAGGAAACUUGGUGAGAGGGAGUAAUCAUCUGAGUGGACCUGUCCAUUUGAGUGGAUUUUGAGAGGAGUUGGGAAUGAUCAUUGAAAUCUAAGGCUCCCUCAUCCUCCAUGGACGACUCCUGAACUGAAAAGGAAGGAGGCUGGAGAGCUACAAGGGCCUUGAAUCGGCCCUGAGUAAAGUCCAUCCACUUUUCCUCUCCAGAAGAUGAAGGGAAUGGAACAUGCUUAGUCUUUUGUCAUUUCUUCACAGGGGCGAUAUCUGCUUGGAUGAAGCGAGGAGGCUCUAACCCCUGACGUACCUCAAUCACUGAGUUGUUGAAUCUCUGGAAAAGUAUUCAAUGACAAUAAACUGAAUCUCAAAGUAUUGGGUACAAAAGACUUGCAGAUGGAACAAGACCUGUAACUGUGUUCUGCACUUAAGAACAGGCAGCAGGAAUGGCAGUACUUGCAGGGCAGGGUAUUUGCCUAUUGCAACAACACUUUCCCCUGCUAGCUGACAUCUAAGAAAUCACUGAUCAAUAUGAUAAAUAAGAAAAGUUCCCCAAUGGGGUAUUUAUCUGAAUCCAUGAAGGCUUAUGGUACAAGUGACCACAAAAAAAUCAGUCAGAUGGGUGCAAAACCUGCAUCCAUGCUGCCAAAGAGAUAGCCUGAGGAUUUAUGCUCAUGCAGCCACUUAUGUACCCUACGGUCAUAGGUUGAGGUCAUACAUUGGAUGUACGGCUAUUGGAAAAGUUUAGGUUCAGAAGUUUCACUCAAACUUUGUUGGGGCUAAGGUACCACAUUUAGCUAUUAACAGUUAAUGCAAUACCAAGAAGCAGUAACAUGUCAAGCUGAUGAAGUCAUAUUCUAAGCUUUUCCAGAAAGUUUCUUUAAAGGGUCCCAAGAGGUUUCCUAAAAGAAUGCAUUUUAAAGGCAAUAAAAGGUUCUUAGAAAACCUUCACACACAUACAUUUAACAUUUAAAAUGUUAUCUUCAGUACCAGCAAAGGACUGCAGGGUCCACAGCCAGAUCAUUUUCCACCCAUGUCACACACCAACGGGUAUAAUAUUAAAUCUCCCACACAGCACCUUUUAUGAUGCAGAAUUUAGGAUAUUAAGAUAAUUAUCUACUAAUGUGCAUAAAGAACCAAGAUGAAUAAGUGGUGAUACAAAGUCAAAGCAAUGAAAGAAAAGUAUAAAAUGGCAGCUGCACAGCCAAGAGAUGAUUUAUGACAUAUUUAAAAUGAUCAGCAAUAUGAAAAUUUCAUGACAAGUAGUACUACAGAACUUCACUUCACAUCUAUGCUUUCCAUUACCAAAGGGCCACAAUCUUGCUGGAAUACUUGGGGGGGGGGGGGG
Protopterus annectens (West African lungfish) is the source of this 4280-nucleotide long non-coding RNA. RefSeq lists it as uncharacterized. Lineage: Eukaryota; Metazoa; Chordata; Ceratodontiformes; Protopteridae. The record is from RefSeq and is a predicted model, not a curated record. The transcript has 2 exons.